RNAcentral lists this ribosomal RNA (451 nucleotides) under uncultured bacterium. RNAcentral's name for it is "SSU rRNA". It matches the Rfam family "Bacterial small subunit ribosomal RNA", at positions 28 to 453 of the family's 1533-position model. The record is from RNAcentral.
GACGAACGCUGGCGGCGUGCCUAAUACAUGCAAGUCGAGCGAGCGGAACCAACAGAUUUACUUCGGUAAUGACGUUGGGAAAGCGAGCGGCGGAUGGGUGAGUAACACGUGGGGAACCUGCCCCUAAGUCUGGGAUACCAUUUGGAAACAGGUGCUAAUACCGGAUAAUAAAGCAGAUCGCAUGAUCAGCUUUUGAAAGGCGGCGUAAGCUGUCGCUAAGGGAUGGCCCCGCGGUGCAUUAGCUAGUUGGUAAGGUAACGGCUUACCAAGGCGACGAUGCAUAGCCGAGUUGAGAGACUGAUCGGCCACAUUGGGACUGAGACACGGCCCAAACUCCUACGGGAGGCAGCAGUAGGGAAUCUUCCACAAUGGACGCAAGUCUGAUGGAGCAACGCCGCGUGAGUGAAGAAGGUUUUCGGAUCGUAAAGCUCUGUUGUUGGUGAAGAAGGAU